UAGGGAAUCUUCGGCAAUGGGGGCAACCCUGACCGAGCAACGCCGCGUGAGUGAAGAAGGUUUUCGGAUCGUAAAGCUCUGUUGUAAGAGAAGAACGUGUGUGAGAGUGGAAAGUUCACACAGUGACGGUAACUUACCAGAAAGGGACGGCUAACUACGUGCCAGCAGCCGCGGUAAUACGUAGGUCCCGAGCGUUGUCCGGAUUUAUUGGGCGUAAAGCGAGCGCAGGCGGUUUAAUAAGUCUGAAGUCAAAGGCAGUGGCUUAACCAUUGUUCGCUUUGGAAACUGUUAAACUUGAGUGCAGAAGGGGAGAGUGGAAUUCCAUGUGUAGCGGUGAAAUGCGUAGAUAUAUGGAGGAACACCGGUGGCGAAAGCGGCUCUCUGGUCUGUAACUGACGCUGAGGCUCGAAAGCGUGGGGAGCAAACAGG
RNAcentral lists this ribosomal RNA (429 nucleotides) under bacterium. RNAcentral describes it as "partial 16S ribosomal RNA". It matches the Rfam family "Bacterial small subunit ribosomal RNA", at positions 355 to 776 of the family's 1533-position model. The record is from RNAcentral.